Molecule: ribosomal RNA, 460 nt
Filed under: uncultured bacterium
Lineage: Bacteria
Description: partial 16S ribosomal RNA
Rfam family: Bacterial small subunit ribosomal RNA
Source: RNAcentral
CCUACGGGGGGCAGCAGUGAGGAAUAUUGGUCAAUGGGCGCGAGCCUGAACCAGCCAAGUAGCGUGAAGGAUGACUGCCCUACGGGUUGUAAACUUCUUUUAUAAAGGAAUAAAGUGAGGCACGUGUGCCUUUUUGUAUGUACUUUAUGACUAAGGAUCGGCUAACUCCGUGCCAGCAGCCGCGGGAAUACGGAGGAUCCGAGCGUUAUCCGGAUUUAUUGGGUUUAAAGGGAGAGUAGAUGGGUUGUUAAGUCAGUUGUGAAAGUUUGCGGCUCAACCGUAAAAUUGCAAUUGAUACUGGCGGUCUUGAGUACAGUUGAGGUAGGCGGAAUUCGUGGUGUAGCGGUGAAAUGCUGAGAUAGCACGAAGAACUACGAUUGCGAAGGCAGCUUACUAAACUGCCACUGACAUUGAUGCUCGAAAGUGUGGGUAUCAAACAGGAUUAGAUACCCUUGUAGUC